This 301-nucleotide ribosomal RNA is filed under the name uncultured bacterium. RNAcentral describes it as "partial 16S ribosomal RNA". It matches the Rfam family "Bacterial small subunit ribosomal RNA", at positions 509 to 809 of the family's 1533-position model. The record is from RNAcentral.
CAGUCGCCGCGGGAAUACGGAGGGUGCAAGCGUUAAUCGGAAUUACUGGGCGUAAAGCGCACGCAGGCGGUCUGUCAAGUCAGAUGUGAAAUCCCCGGGCUUAACCUGGGAACUGCAUUUGAAACUGGCAGGCUAGAGUCUUGUAGAGGGGGGUAGAAUUCCAGGUGUAGCGGUGAAAUGCGUAGAGAUCUGGAGGAAUACCGGUGGCGAAGGCGGCCCCCUGGACAAAGACUGACGCUCAGGUGCGAAAGCGUGGGGAGCAAACAGGAUUAGAUACCCGUGUAGUCCCUGUCUCUUAUAA